Molecule: ribosomal RNA, 1739 nt
Filed under: Paramonosiga thecata
Lineage: Eukaryota; Choanoflagellata; Craspedida; Salpingoecidae
Description: SSU rRNA
Rfam family: Eukaryotic small subunit ribosomal RNA
Source: RNAcentral
GUCUGCCAGUAGUGAUACGCUUGUUUUAAGGAUUAAGCCAUGCAUGUCUCAGUAUAGCGAGUUUACUGUGAAACUGCGAAUGGCUCAUUACAUCAGCUAUCGUUUCUUUGAUAUUGAACGAACUACAUGGAUAACCGUGGUAAUUCUAGAGCUAAUACAUGCGUCAAGACCCGACUUUUUGGGAGGGUUGCUGUUGUUAGAUACAAAACCAGUGCGAGGGGUGGCAACAUUUCUCGAAAACUCAUGGUGAUUCAUAAUAACUGAGCGGACCGCACAUUGGUGGCCCUUGAGCUGCUGGCGGUGAAUCAUUCAAAUUUCUGCCCUAUCAACUUUCGAUGGUACGGUAUUGGCCUACCAUGGUCGCAACGGGUAACGGGGGAUCAGGGUUCGAUUCCGGAGAGGGAGCCUGAGAAAUGGCUACCACUUCCAAGGAAGGCAGCAGGCGCGCAAAUUGCCCAAUCCUGACACAGGGAGGCAGUGACAAUAAAUAACAAUGCGGGGCUUUACGCUUCGCAAUUGGAAUGAGCGCAAUCUAAACCACUCAGCGAGUAACAAUUGGAGGGCAAGUCUGGUGCCAGCAGCCGCGGUAAUUCCAGCUCCAAUAGCGUAUAUUAAAGUUGUUGCAGUUGAAAAGCUCGUAGUUGGACUUUGGCUGGGUGUGUAACGCCUUGUUGNAAUCCAACGACGAAAACAAACCCUUCAAACGCGGGGCCGGCGCCCGGCCCAAACUUCUCGAAGACCUGGUGUGCCCUUAACUGGGCGUGCCGUGAGAUUCGGGACCUUUACUUUGAAAAAAUGAGAGUGUUCAAAGCAGGCUAAUUUAGGCUUGAAUCGUCUAGCAUGGAAUAAUGGAAAAGGACUUUGGUUCUAUUUUUCGUUGGUUUCAGGGACCGAAGUAAUGAUUAAUAGGGACAGUUGGGGGCAUUAGUAUUUAAUAGUCAGAGGUGAAAUUCUUGGAUUUAUGAAAGACUAACUUCUGCGAAAGCAUUUGCCAAGGAUGUUUUCAUUAAUCAAGAACGAAAGUCAGGGGAUCGAAGACGAUUAGAUACCGUCGUAGUCUUGACUAUAAACUAUGCCGACUAGGGAUCGGUGCGGUACAUUUGUGUCCGCAUCGGCACCUUGUGAGAAAUCAAAGUUUUUGGGUUCCGGGGGGUGUAUGGUCGCAAGGCUGAAACUUAAAGGAAUUGACGGAGAGGCACACCAGGAGUGGAGCCUGCGGCUUAAUUUGCUCUCAAGCGGCGGGGAAACUCACCAGGUCCAGACAUGGUAAGGAUUGACAGAUUGAGAGCUCUUUCUUGAUUCUAUGGGUGGUGGUGCAUGGCCGUUCUUAGUUGGUGGAGUGAUCUGUCUGGUUAAUUCCGAUAACGAACGAGACCUUAACCUGCUAAAUAGCUUGACCGUUGCGAAACGGGUAUUCCAUAAAGCUUCUUAGAGGGACAACCGUCGUUUUUUCUUUUUAGACCGGGGGAAGUUUGAGGCAAUAACAGGUCUGUGAUGCCCUUAGAUGUUCUGGGCUGCACGCGCGCUACACUGACGGAGUCAGAGAGUAUGUUACCUUGCAUCGGAAGGUGUGGGCAAUCUUACAAACUCCGUCGUGAUGGGGAUAGAUCUUUGUAAUUAUCGAUCUUCAACGAGGAAUUCCUAGUAAGCGCGGUUCAUCAGAUCGCGUUGAUUACGUCCCUGCCCCUUGUACACACCGCCCGUCGCUACUACUGAUGAAUGUUUUAGUGAGGUCCCCC